GAUGCUACCUGGUAUCCUCCAGAUAAUCC
This 29-nucleotide ribosomal RNA is filed under the name Cytisus heterochrous. RNAcentral describes it as "partial 18S ribosomal RNA". The record is from RNAcentral. Lineage: Eukaryota; Viridiplantae; Streptophyta; Magnoliopsida; Fabales; Fabaceae.